ACAGCCAUACCUACAGCAUACAGAACUUCCUGGUUGAAUUCGGAUGCAGGCAGAGCGUACAGCACAGCCACAGAAACAUCUGCAACCUAUACCCCGGCUCAUGGCAACUCUGGAUCCUCAACCCACUGAGCAAGGCCAGGGAUCAAACCCAUAUCCUCAAAGACACUGCAUUGGAUUCUUAACCCACUGAGCCACAAUGGGAACUCUCUUUGUUGUCAAUUUUAAUUUAGAAAUCUGUCAAAGUUACUGGAGUAAGAGAUCGCAUAAAUAAUUUCUCCUCCAAAUAUUUAUUUACUAUUACAAGAUAACUUCUAAUUGUUUUAAAAUGUGGAAAAUAUCAAUCAUAUCCCAAAAAACCCACUUUUAAACAAAGCUAAUAUCAAUGAAAUACACCAGGGAGUUCCUGUUGUAGUACAGUUGGAAACAAAUCUGACUAUUUACCAUAAGAAUUCGGGUUCGAUCCCUAGCCUCGUUCAGUGGGUGAAGGAUCUAGUGUUGUCGUGAGCUGUGGUGUAGGUCGCAGACAGGGCUCGGAUCUGGUGUGGCUGUGGCGUAGGUCAGCAGCUACAGCUCUAAUUCAACUCCAGCCUGGGAACUUCCAUGUGCCACGCAUGGAGCCCUUGAAAAAAAAAAAAAAAGAAAGAAAAGAAAUAUACCAUAUUUUUGAGACUAAAAAUGUAGUGCCUUGACAGCAACUUUUGCGAUGUGAAAUAAAGACACAAACUAGAUCACUUAAGAUAUUUGUGCACUUCCCCAACUCCCCCACCCACUCUAAAUCUGAAUGGGAAUGUGGCAUCUGAAUUUUUCUACAAAGCUGCUAUGUAAACUUAGUGCUCUGAUGGGAAGAACUAAAAUAAACAUUUUCAUUGUGGGACAUUCUCUAUGAAAUUGUUAACCACAUUCAGCAAUAACUCUAAGUGCCUGGCCUACUGCGUGUAAUUUACAAGGAUGUGUCUUGAGAACCAAUCUCAGAAAAAGGGACAAUCUCAAUUAUCAAAGUACACAGGACCAAGAGUACCUGGGAUAAUCUGACAAAUUAAUAAAACGUGAUGGGUAGAUGACUGGAAAGAUGAUACUCAUAUGAUGCUUUAAGAGUUCCACAUACAGUCACUGUAAAACAUUAACAUAACAGUCAACCUUAAAAGGAUGAAAAAAUUUGAUGGAGUUCCCAUCGUGGCUCAGUGGUUAACGAAUCUGACUAGGAACGAUGAGGUUGCUGGUUCGAUCCCUGGCCUCGAUCAGUGGGUUAAGGAUCCAGCCUUGCCAUGAACUGCGGUGUAUGUUGAAGAGGUGGCUUAGACCUGGCUUUGCUGUGGCUGUGAAGUUAACUUUUUCUGGUGGAGGGAGAGAAGAGAACUGUAUCCACAUAGCAAGUAACACAUAAUGCCUCCACAUAGCAAGGAGGGUGGGAAAAGACUUUCAAAUCAUUACUGAAAUAAUGUCACUUCCUUGCUCCAAAACCCUGAAUGGCUCCUCCUUGCUCCUAGAAUGAAAUCCAAACUCUACCAUAGUUGACAUGACCCCACAUCAUGUGGAUCUCCCCAGCGCACAGCCUGUGUUCCUGCUGCUCUGUCUGUGAUGCUCUUUCCAGGGAUGUGUGGUGAUUUUCACUUUCUCGCCUUUGCUUAAAUGUCCUUUUAAGUCUUCUUUAAGUUCCCCUCACCUAAGUGUUCUCCAUCACAGCACUGUUAAUUUCUCUCCUUCGAACCAAUACAACCUGUACUUACUAGUCCUCUAACCUGGUUACUGUCUAUACUGCCUACUAAAACUCAGGCUAUACAAGCCCGAGGCCAGGUCUGUUUCCGCUGCCCACAGAGCCUAGCACACGAAAGACACACCUUGGAGAUAUUGCCAGUUCAUAUCCAGACCACCUUUGUAAAGCAAAUAUCAUAACACAGCGAGCCACACACAUUUUAUUUUUUGGUUUCCCAGAGCAUAUAUAAGUUACCUUUAUGCUAUACUGCAGUCAAACUGCAACAGCAUCAUGUCUACAAAAAAGUCAUGUACACACCUUAAACAAUAACUAUUGCUAAAAAAGGCUAUCACCUGACAAUGCAGAGUUGCCACAAAUCUUCGAUCCGCAAAAAUCAUGCUAUCUGUGGAUCAUAAUCAAGAAGAAGCACAAUAAAAAGUCUGUGCGCAUUUUAAAUGAAUGUGAUCAGAUUCACUCAUCUGCUGUCACUCUUGUACAGCACUGCUUCCUGAUGAUAAUUCUUUUUGAACUGUGUCCUCUCUAAAACUUUUCUCUAAGUAAAGUCAUUCCAUGCGGCUCUAUCUAUUUGAAAAUGUGCUUCAAUGUCUUUUUCUACAGAACUUACUUGGUUCCAUCCCACAUUAGUUUUCCAUCUAUCAAUUUAAACAGAUACAAACACCCAAUGUCCAGAUCUUAUACAUAAACGGCCAUGAUUCAACGCUGGUAGAUCCACUUGGACUUCUCAUUGACUCUGUCCUUUUAAAAUUUAGUACUGACACAGGUCACUACAGGCAAGUCAGAUGUGACACCUGUGGUAAACACAAUGCUGAAUGCCAUGUGAGAGGUGGGUAAUAUCAUCCCUUUAUUUUGACCUGGUAUUUCACUUUGUUAGGUACAGGUUCUUUAGAAGGCAGAUAGAAAUCAGUUUUUGCUACAUUGUUAAUUAUUAGGGAGGGAGUUCCCAUUGUAGCACAGCUGAAAUGGAUUUGACAAGUAACCCUGAGGUUGCAAGUUCGAUCCCUGGCCUCGCUCAGUGGGUUAAGGUGUAGUCACGGAUGUGGCUUGGAUCCUGCAUAGCAUUGCUGUGGCCAUGGCACAGGCCAGCAGCUGUAGCUCUGAUUCGACACCUAGCCUGGGAACCUCCAUAUGCCUAGAAUGCGGCCCUAAAAAGCAAAAAAGUAUUAGGGAGCAGUAUAUUGCUCCAGGUAGUAAAACCAGGUGAUAACUUUUAAUUGUGUUUGGCAUAUGAAACUUUGGCCUUGUAGGACUUUCCCGAGUGAGCCGUCACCGUGGUCUUCCCACAAGUAUAUCAUCUAUGCUGUGUGGCAUGCACGCUACACAAUCCAGAAUCACUUGCAUGUACUUUUCAAGAAAGGAGCCAUUAGCAUACAGCAGUUCCUGGAUUACAGAGCUCAGACAAGGAGCUUUGAUGAGCUUCUCAGCCUAUAGGGCAGGAAGUUUCCCAAAGGAUUAGAAGCAUAUUCUGACACCAGUUACUAGGGGUUUUGUUUCACUUUAGAGCAUGGCUGUGUAAGGGAGGCUGAAUAAGAAUGGGCUUAUUAUCACCAGCUUCACUCCACUGGUGAUGGGGAAUGUGUCAGAUGUCUCAGGCGGGUGCCAACAUCACCAACAUAACCCCCUCUCUGGAACAGCUCUGGGAUGUGGGGGAACAUCUCCAGGAAACCCAAUUUACUUAGUGCCCCCGGAUCCACUACCAAUUGUGGGCAAACAAUAAUCUUAGAAAGCCAAAACACGUGAUUCGAAAGCAUUGCUAUGUUCUGUAUACAUCUUCUCAGUCUUGCCCGCAGCACUCUUUUGUAUCAUACUGCAGUCCAGAGCUUCGCUAUGACUCCAGGAAGGUAAAAAUUGCCAAAUGCGCUUGGGCAACAACUCAGAAAGACCGCCAGCAAUGGACAGCCCUAAAAUGCAACAGAAACUGCCUCAGCUCUUUCCAUUUUUUUUCUGAAGAGGGUAAUGAGGAUGUUCUGUUAAACUAGCAAACCAAAUUAGGUUUCUGUGUUUGUAUUUUAACACACAUGUAUUGUUUAUCUCCCGUCUCUUGGACAAGGUAGAGAUGCAAGACAUAAUCCCUGCUCUCAAGGAACUUAAAGUCUACCCAGAAAGAACAAACCGAAGGACACUGGGGACAGAUGCUGCUUCUUUUCAAGUAGCUGGAGUGUUACUCAAGGACCACAAAUGACUCCAAUCUUCUAGAAACUGUUCAUUCCAUCGUCAAGUUCAGGCUACCAGGCUUCCAAAAUGCACGCACUCCACUUAGGACUUCAGUUCUAUCACCUUUCUCUACAACCAUGUUCAAAAAACACAUCUCCCUUUCUUGCCUUUCCACUUGUUUCCUCUCAGUCUACAAGCACUCUUAACUUUACACUUUAAAGCCACAGGAAAAACUCCCUUGACUCUCCCUAGGGCUUGCCACUCUCCUCCCACUUUGUGUCUUUUUCUAGGUCCUCUCAGCUUUCCCAGGCUUCAUCUGUAGCAUCCUCAGAGCACAACUGUCAAUUCCCUUCCCCUCACCAAUGGGGUGUACUUUAUCACCCACUUUCCAAUCUAACAGAGACACUCAAGGCCAAUUCCAGCCUCAGGACCCUGCCAGACCAGCUCUGACUCAAUGUGUAGAAACCUAAACACAUGAGCGUCAUGACACCUGAAGCACACUUUCAAAUGGUUCCACAAAGUAAACAUAUAAGAUAAGACAGACAAAGCAAACAUGAUGAAACUUUAACAGCUGAUGAAUCAAGGCGAAGGCUAGGAGGUCCCUGUUGUAUUCUUUCACUUCCUCUGUAGUUUGAAACUUUUCAAACAGGAGUUCCCUGUGGCACAAUGGGAUCGGUGACAUCUCUGCAGCACUGGGACAAAGCUUAACCCUCAGCACAGUGGGUUAAGGAUCCAGCAUGGCUGCAGCUGUGUGUGGGGAGGUCUGCAACUGCAGCUCGGAUCUGAUCCCUGGCCGAGGAACUUCAUGUGCAAUGGGGCAGCCAAUAAAAAGAAAACAAAUAAACAAAAAGUUGUUGGGAGAGGAGUUUCUGUUGGGGCUCAGCGGUAAUGAAUCUGACCAGUAUCCAUGAAGACUCAGGUUCCAUCCCUGGCCUUGAUCAGGAGGUUAGGAUCAGGUGUUGCCAUAAGCUGUGGUGUAGGUCACAGAUGCAGAUGCGGCUCAGAUCCAACAUCGCUGUGGCUGUGGUCUAGGCCUGCAGCUACGGCUUUGAUUCAACCCCUGGCCUGGGAACUUCCAUAUGCCACAGGUGACGCCAUAAAAAGAAAAGAAAAAAAAAUUGUUGGAAGGAAAAAACAAUGUAGGAUCAGAAUCAAAGACAGAAAUAAUGGUCCGUGGCUUUUAGGGAGUUUAUAAUCUAAUUCGUCUAAUCUAAAAGUUGGCUGGGUAGCUCUGAGAGUUCAAUGGCAUUAAUAAUCAGCUUAACUGUGUAAUCAAAAUGCAAAUAUUUACUGAGGGCCUACUAAGUGGUAGCAAUAUGUUAGGCACCGUAUGUGGUUAACAAAGCAGAACAUUAAACCUUGGAAGCAGGACCCCAUCUCACUCAAGCCAGUCCAUCCAGUCUAUAUACCUGCCUCAGUUACUUUUUUUUUUUUUUUUAGGGCCCCACCCGUGGCAUAUGGAGGUUCCCAGGGUCCCAGGGGUCGAAUCAGAGCUAUAGCUGCUGGCCUACGCCACAGCCAUAGCAACACCAGAUCUGAGCUAUGUCUGCGACCUACACCACAGCUCACGGCAACACCAGGUCCUUAACCCACUGAGCGAGGCCAGGGAUCAACCCGAGAAACUUCAUGGUUCCCAGUCAGGUUCAUUUCUGCUAUACCACAAUGGGAACUCUUUUUUUUUUUUUUUUAUUUUUUUUUUUUUUUUCCUGCCUCGGUUACCUCUGUCACAGGCACCACCAUCUUCCACUGCUU
Molecule: long non-coding RNA, 5617 nt
Filed under: Sus scrofa (pig)
Lineage: Eukaryota; Metazoa; Chordata; Mammalia; Artiodactyla; Suidae
Description: lncRNA (ENSSSCG00015011597.1)
Source: RNAcentral